Molecule: long non-coding RNA, 226 nt
Filed under: Carica papaya (papaya)
Lineage: Eukaryota; Viridiplantae; Streptophyta; Magnoliopsida; Brassicales; Caricaceae
Description: long non-coding RNA (CPAP_LNC011503)
Source: RNAcentral
GUGGUUCACUGACAGUCGAUAGUAAUCAUAACCAAUCAUAUUUAGUCACCCUUCAGUGAUAACGGUUAAAGGAAUUUCAGUCUUUACUUUUUUUUAAUGGUUACAAAGUUGCAGUCAAUCACACGGUACAGAACAUUCAUUUCGAUCCAUUAGGUCUGCCAUCGAUCCUAAUACCUGCCUAUUUCUAAAUCAUUCAACUACCAAAAUCCUACCAUUGAAUCAGGAC